UUAUUCAGAAAGGAGCAGAUU
Molecule: microRNA, 21 nt
Filed under: Pteropus alecto (black flying fox)
Lineage: Eukaryota; Metazoa; Chordata; Mammalia; Chiroptera; Pteropodidae
Description: pal-miR-8908e-5p
Source: miRBase by way of RNAcentral